UACGUAGGGGGCAAGCGUUGUCCGGAUUUAUUGGGCGUAAAGAGCGUGUAGGCGGCCAGGUAGGUCCGGUGUGAAAACUCGAGGCUUAACCUCGAGAUGUCAUCGGAAACCAUCUGGCUAGAGUCCGGAAGAGGAGAGUGGAAUUCCUGGUGUAGCGGUGAAAUGCGCAGAUAUCAGGAAGAACACCAAUGGCGAAGGCAGCUCUCUGGGACGGUACUGACGCUGAGACGCGAAAGCGUGGGGAGCGAACAGG
This 253-nucleotide ribosomal RNA is filed under the name uncultured bacterium. RNAcentral describes it as "partial 16S ribosomal RNA". It matches the Rfam family "Bacterial small subunit ribosomal RNA", at positions 524 to 776 of the family's 1533-position model. The record is from RNAcentral.